This 253-nucleotide ribosomal RNA is filed under the name uncultured bacterium. RNAcentral describes it as "partial 16S ribosomal RNA". It matches the Rfam family "Bacterial small subunit ribosomal RNA", at positions 524 to 776 of the family's 1533-position model. The record is from RNAcentral.
UACGAAGGGGGCUAGCGUUGUUCGGAAUUACUGGGCGUAAAGCGUGCGCAGGCGGCUUCUCAAGUCAGGGGUGAAAGCCCAGAGCUCAACUCUGGAAUUGCCUUUGAUACUGAGUGGCUUGAGUACGAGAGAGGUGAGUGGAAUUCCCAGUGUAGAGGUGAAAUUCGUAGAUAUUGGGAAGAACACCGGUGGCGAAGGCGGCUCACUGGCUCGUAACUGACGCUCAUGCACGACAGCGUGGGGAUCAAACAGG